RNAcentral lists this ribosomal RNA (420 nucleotides) under Fusobacteriota bacterium. RNAcentral's name for it is "Fusobacteria bacterium partial 16S ribosomal RNA". It matches the Rfam family "Bacterial small subunit ribosomal RNA", at positions 355 to 776 of the family's 1533-position model. The record is from RNAcentral. Lineage: Bacteria; Fusobacteriati; Fusobacteriota.
UGGGGGAUAUUGCACAAUGGGCGAAAGCCUGAUGCAGCGACGCCGCGUGGGGGAUGAAGGCCUUCGGGUUGUAAACUUCUUUUGCUCUGAACAAGGCAUGCCUUUGGGGUGUGUUGAGUGUAGGGGUUGAUUAGCGCCGGCUAACUACGUGCCAGCAGCCGCGGUAAUACCUAGGGCGCGAGCGUUGUCCGGAAUUAUUGGGCGUAAAGGGCUUGUAGGUGGCUGGUUGCGUCUGUCGUGAAAGCUCAUGGCUUAACUGUGGGUUUGCGGUGGGGACGGGCUGGCUUGAGUGCAGUAGGGGAGGCUGGAAUUCCUGGUGUAGCGGUGGAAUGCGCAGAUAUCAGGAGGAAUACCGGUGGCGAAGGCGGGUCUCUGGGCUGUUACUGACGCUGAGGAGCGAAAGCGUGGGGAGCGAACAGG